This 491-nucleotide ribosomal RNA is filed under the name uncultured bacterium. Its description in RNAcentral is "partial 16S ribosomal RNA". It matches the Rfam family "Bacterial small subunit ribosomal RNA", at positions 29 to 507 of the family's 1533-position model. The record is from RNAcentral.
AGUGAACGCUGGCGGUGGGCCUAACACAUGCAAGUCGAACGGCAGCACAGUAAGAGCUUGCUCUUACGGGUGGCGAGUGGCGGACGGGUGAGGAAUACAUCGGAAUCUACUUUUUCGUGGGGGAUAACGUAGGGAAACUUACGCUAAUACCGCAUACGACCUACGGGUGAAAUCAUGGGAUCUUCGGCCCUUGCGCGAUUGAAUGAGCCGAUGUCGGAUUAGCUAGUUGGCGGGGUAAAGGCCCACCAAGGCGACGAUCCGUAGCUGGUCUGAGAGGAUGAUCAGCCACACUGGAACUGAGACACGGUCCAGACUCCUACGGGAGGCAGCAGUGGGGAAUAUUGACAAUGGGCGCAAGCCUGAUCCAGCCAUACCGCGUGGGUGAAGAAGGCCUUCGGGUUGUAAAGCCCUUUUGUUGGGAAAGAAAAGCAGCAGGUUAAUACCCCGCUGUUCUGACGGUACCCAAAGAAUAAGCACCGGCUAACUUCGUG